UGGUGAAUAUUGCACAAUGGGCGCAAGCCUGAUGCAGCCAUGCCGCGUGUAUGAAGAAGGCCUUCGGGUUGUAAAGUACUUUCAGUCGGGAGGAAGGUGGUAAGGUUAAUAACCUUAUCAAUUGACGUUACCGACAGAAGAAGCACCGGCUAACUCCGUGCCAGCAGCCGCGGUAAUACGGAGGGUGCAAGCGUUAAUCGGAAUUACUGGGCGUAAAGCGCACGCAGGCGGUUGAUUGAGUCAGAUGUGAAAUCCCCGGGCUUAACCCGGGAAUUGCAUCUGAUACUGGUCAGCUAGAGUCUUGUAGAGGGAGGUAGAAUUCCAUGUGGAGCGAUGAAAUACGUAGAGAUGUGGAGGAAUACCGGUGGCGAAGGCGGCCCCCUGGACAAGGACUGACGCUCAGGUGCGAAAGCGUGGGGAGCAAACAGG
This 429-nucleotide ribosomal RNA is filed under the name Chloroflexota bacterium. RNAcentral's name for it is "Chloroflexi bacterium partial 16S ribosomal RNA". It matches the Rfam family "Bacterial small subunit ribosomal RNA", at positions 355 to 776 of the family's 1533-position model. The record is from RNAcentral. Lineage: Bacteria; Bacillati; Chloroflexota.